AUGCCUAAAAAAACACUUACACCAAGACUAAAGAACAAUAAGUAUUUCUCUAUUACUCCAAACUACAUCAUCCACAACUUCUAUGAUAUCACACUUCACAAGCUCCCAGCUUCUGACUAUGAGACGAUGAUAAGCAAUUGUAAUCAUGAACAGCUGUCAAAUGUCCAUUCAUCACUCCCCUCCUAUCCCUUGUGGCCAUCCUCUCGCCGUAGGUUAGAAAGAAUGUCACCAAGAUCAACAAGCCUUGUUUCCCUCGGUCAUCUUCCAACUUCCUCAAACAUCGCCACCCCCUCCUCACUACAGAAGUAG
RNAcentral lists this ribosomal RNA (309 nucleotides) under Triticum aestivum (bread wheat). RNAcentral's name for it is "partial small subunit ribosomal RNA". Lineage: Eukaryota; Viridiplantae; Streptophyta; Magnoliopsida; Poales; Poaceae. The record is from RNAcentral.